This 319-nucleotide long non-coding RNA is filed under the name Homo sapiens (human). RNAcentral describes it as "PREDICTED lncRNA (TCONS_00210586)". Lineage: Eukaryota; Metazoa; Chordata; Mammalia; Primates; Hominidae. The record is from RNAcentral.
CUUGCAUUCUAUCAGUGGGAGACAUACACUCCACCAUUGUUACACUAAGAUUACUCAAAGUUAUUGAGAAGAAAUACAGGUUCUGGUGGACAAUUUCCAGUCUGGAGUCUGCAUUUGGAGAGAUUCUACAGCACAUGCAUGAAUGAGGAGGAGGUGGUGUCCCAAGGGCAUUUAUAUCUUUGCUCUGUAUUUGGAGGAGAAUGGAGAGUUCCAAAUGAUCAGAGCUUGCACAUUACUAGAUCCCCUUUCUAGGGAAAAUGCUGCGAUCAAUUGAAGUUGUCAUCCUCAUGAAGCUCAUACUGUUUUGCCUGAAAAAUAA